AACGAACGCUGGCGGCAGGCCUAACACAUGCAAGUCGAGCGAGGUAGCAAUACCUAGCGGCGGACGGGUGAGUAACGCGUGGGAACGUGCCCCUUGGUACGGAAUAGCCCCGGGAAACUGGGAGUAAUACCGUAUGAGCUCUACGGAGGAAAGAUUUAUCGCCAAGGGAUCGGCCCGCGUUGGAUUAGGUAGUUGGUGGGGUAAUGGCCUACCAAGCCGACGAUCCAUAGCUGGUUUGAGAGGAUGAUCAGCCACCCUGGGACUGAGAAACGGCCCAGACUCCUACGGGAGGCAGCAGUGGGGAAUCUUAGACAAUGGGCGCAAGCCUGAUCUAGCCAUGCCGCGUGGGCGAUGAAGGCCUUAGGGUUGUAAAGCUCUUUCGGCUGGGAAGAUAAUGACUGUACCAGCAGAAGAAGCCCCGGCUAACUCCGUGCCAGCAGCCGCCGUAA
Molecule: ribosomal RNA, 449 nt
Filed under: uncultured bacterium
Lineage: Bacteria
Description: partial 16S ribosomal RNA
Rfam family: Bacterial small subunit ribosomal RNA
Source: RNAcentral